This 72-nucleotide transfer RNA is filed under the name Loxodonta africana (African savanna elephant). It matches the Rfam family "tRNA". From Rfam's summary of the family: Transfer RNA (tRNA) molecules are approximately 80 nucleotides in length. Their secondary structure includes four short double-helical elements and three loops (D, anti-codon, and T loops). The record is from Rfam by way of RNAcentral. Lineage: Eukaryota; Metazoa; Chordata; Mammalia; Proboscidea; Elephantidae.
GCCCUAGUAGCAUAACGGUAAAGCGUUUGGCUGCUAACCACAAGGUUGCUGGUUCGAACCCACCCAGCAGCU